RNAcentral lists this small RNA (464 nucleotides) under Pan troglodytes (chimpanzee). RNAcentral's name for it is "processed transcript". The record is from RNAcentral. Lineage: Eukaryota; Metazoa; Chordata; Mammalia; Primates; Hominidae.
ACUCCGGGUGCCGGUUGAGGUUGCUGGUGGACCUGCUCUGGUGGUCUUGGAUGAGGCCCCAUGAGCGCGGCGCCCCUGGUGGGCUACAGCAGCAGCGGCUCCGAGGAUGAGUCCGAGGACGGGAUGCGGACCAGGCUGGGGGAUGGGAGCCACCGUCGUGGCCACAGCCCCCUUCCCAGGCAGAGAUUUCCAGUACCUGACAGUGUGCUGAACAUGUUCCCGGGCACCGAGGAGGGGCCUGAAGAUGACAGCACAAAACACGGGGGACGGGUGCGCACCUUCCCCCACGAGCGAGGCAACUGGGCCACCCACGUCUAUGUACCAUAUUCUUCUUUACUGCCAACCAGGUAAAGAUUUACACCAAUCAAGAGAAAACCAGGACCUUUAUUGGGCUUGAGGUCACUUCAGGGCAUGCCCAGUUCCUGGACCUGGUUUCAGAGGUGGACAGAGUCAUGGAGGAAUUC